AUUUACCCUUACUCAAUAUGUGUUUUUAACAUGUUGGGCUUGAAUGAUUGACUUCAAUGUGGAAUUAGUUGCACAUAUGGCCCAAUAUAUGUUGAUCUCACAUGAGAAGCCGUGUUGAAGAAUAUGUAUAUACUUCGUGUUGAAGAAUAUGUAUAUACUUUGUUUUGAAUGUUUUAUGAAUUAUGUAAAGAAGAGACAAUGUCGUGAAUUCAAUGCUACAUGAUUUUAGACAUAUAAAAAUAAAAUUAACAAUGAAAAUGUCUAUUAUAAAGUCAGAUCCAAAUAGUUGUAGUCACAAAAAAAUUUGAACAAGAACACCC
RNAcentral lists this long non-coding RNA (320 nucleotides) under Prunus persica (peach). Its description in RNAcentral is "long non-coding RNA (PPER_LNC006854)". Lineage: Eukaryota; Viridiplantae; Streptophyta; Magnoliopsida; Rosales; Rosaceae. The record is from RNAcentral.